AACGCGACUACUCCGAACAUAGAUUACGGUGGGGGAACCGAAUCGCAACUGGGGUGAAUCUUCCGUCAGGAAGCAGGGACGCUUGGAGUCCCGAACCCGUCAGCUAACCUCAUAGGAGCGAUCCAAGCGUGUGA
RNAcentral lists this small RNA (134 nucleotides) under Mycoplasmatota bacterium. Its description in RNAcentral is "Tenericutes bacterium c-di-AMP sequence". It matches the Rfam family "c-di-AMP riboswitch aptamer (ydaO/yuaA leader)". From Rfam's summary of the family: This family represents a conserved RNA structure found upstream of the ydaO and yuaA genes in Bacillus subtilis and related genes in other bacteria. Lineage: Bacteria; Bacillati; Mycoplasmatota. The record is from RNAcentral.